UGGGUUUGUUGGCUCAGGAACCCAAUCUGCAUGAUCUUGUUUAUAGCCAGCUACAAACAUUUUGCAGCGUUUUACUAAACGUUUGUGAAGUGUUGUCAUAUAAAACAUCUCUUAUGAUACUUACAGAAGUCCCGAGGUAGACAGAAGACUUACCUAGUAUACUCUUUUUAUGGACAAGAAAACGGAGAAAGUUUAAAGAGACUUGACCCAGCUUAACAAAAGAGACCCUCAACUGGCUCUGAGAAAGCAAGCUAUCAUCUUGUGAAAUGCCCUGUGGAAAAGCCCAUGUAGCAAAGGACAGCCAAUAGCCAACAGAAAGCUGAUGCCCUCAGUCCAACAGCCUGCAAGAAACUGAAUUCUGCCAGCAACCAUGUGAGAUUGGAAGCAGAUUCUUCCGUGCAGUCUUGUGAGAGAUUAUGAAGCAAAGGACUCAAGUUGUGCCCAGAUUCCUGACCCACAGAUACCGUGUGAUAAUAAAUGCAUAUUGUCUUAAACCA
This 497-nucleotide long non-coding RNA is filed under the name Homo sapiens (human). Its description in RNAcentral is "HSALNT0376251". The record is from RNAcentral. Lineage: Eukaryota; Metazoa; Chordata; Mammalia; Primates; Hominidae.